GAUGAACGCUGGCGGCGUGCCUAAUACAUGCAAGUCGAGCGAACGGACGAGAAGCUUGCUUCUCUGAUUUUAGCGGCGGACGGGUGCGUAACACGUGGAUAACCUACCUAUAAGACUGGGAUACCUUCGGGAAACCGGAGCUAAUACCGGAUAAUAUUUUGAACCGCAUGGUUCAAACGUGAAAGACGGUCUUGCUUUCACUUAUAGAUGGAUCCGCGCUGCAUUAGCUAGUUGGUAAGGUAACGGCUUACCAAGGCAACGAUGCAUAGCCGACCUGAGCGGGGGGACGGCCACACUGGAAGUGAGACACGGUCCAGACUCCGACGGGAGGCAGCAGUAGGGAAUCCUCCGCGAUGGGCGAAAGCCUGACGGAGCAACGUCGCGGGAGUGAUGAAGGUCUUCGGAUCGGAAAACGAUGUUAGUAGGGAAGAACAUAUGUGUAAGUAACUGUGCAGAUCAUGACGGUACCUAAACAGAAAGCCACGGCUAACUACGUG
Molecule: ribosomal RNA, 497 nt
Filed under: uncultured bacterium
Lineage: Bacteria
Description: partial 16S ribosomal RNA
Rfam family: Bacterial small subunit ribosomal RNA
Source: RNAcentral